Non-coding RNA from Salvia hispanica, 404 nucleotides. NCBI's taxonomy places the organism in Eukaryota, Viridiplantae, Streptophyta, Magnoliopsida, Lamiales, Lamiaceae. The record is from RefSeq and is a predicted model, not a curated record.
AAAAGGUUCAAGGAAAUCGUCUCCUCCUUCCUCAAUCGCUUCCGCUAUGGAUCGCCAAGGAAAACUUAUGAAGGAUCUCAUGAGCAUGCAAUAUGAUGGUUCUCGGACUAUGUACGAGCAUGUGAUGGAAAUAAAUAACAUCUCUUCUAAGCUGGAAAAGUUAGGAUUAUAGGUGGAUAAGGAUUUCAUUGUUCAAUUCAUCCUAACUUCCUUAUAUCCUCAGACCAUUCCAAAUUGAUUCACUAUAAAAGAUUAGUGGACUCUUAAAGAAUUGGGAAACGUAUUGGUCUAGGAGGAGCAUAAGAUGAAGAAGUAUGGAAUGGGUGCAUCUCAUGCUCAUAUUGCAACCGAAGGAGCGUCUAAAGGAUAAUAUUCAUUCGAAUUUAUCAUUCUUAUGGCAUAAA